UGGUGUCAAAAUCUGCAAUGGAGUCCUUUAUAAACAAAGCUGUAUAUCUCUUGGAGGGGAGCAACUGGCCCAACAAACUGCUGUUGAAUCGAACCACAAACAAGAAUGGACGGGCUGCGUUCUCCCUAAACACUGCUAAUCUUAAGGCUGAUCUGAAUCUGGUGGCGAGUGCUAAUCCAGAGGUUUUUUUUAUGGUUAUAAAUCGCCAUACUUCACUGCAGAUACAAGUGACCGUGGCGUAUUCAUUUGUUGGAGAGGCUGGUAGCUACAGCGCUGACAAUCUAUAUGGUCUUAUCCAAAGGAGUGAUCAUCCUCAAUGGAUUUCAGACGGUUAAAGCAAAGGCUGGUGAUGCAGUCACAAGUGGCUCUGUGAUGUUCCAGUUGUCUGUCAGCGUUGAUUAUGGCUCCAGCAGUGCAGAUUCUGGUCUACAGCGUUCUUCCCAGUGAGAAUGUAGUUGCUGCUAGUGUGCCGUUUGGGACUGAAAUGUAUUUCCAGAACCAGGUGUCUCUGCAGUUUUCUCCGGCUACGGCGGUUCCUGCGGAGGGAAACGUUCUGACGGUUUCUGCUCAAGCAGGAUCUCUGUGUUGCCUCAGUGCUGUUGAUCAGAGCAUCCGGAUCAUGGAGCCAGGAAGACGUCUGAGAGCUGAGAGGCUGUCUGUGUGCCUCAAUCAGGUUUUUUGUUUGGGCUUUUAAUCUGGAUAUUUCAGUGUGUGGCACUUCUGAUUAGAAUGCCACUUCAGUUUAUCCCAGUGUCUGAAGUACAAGGGCCUGAAUUUUUAUCACGACUUCAGUGUCGGUAUGUCUGUUAGUUAGAUUUUUUGCUCUAGAAAUUGGUACGUGGCUUAAAGAUAAAAUGGAAAAAUGUAGUCUUGUGUUGUAAUCUUUUAAUAUGACGGCCGGAAGGACGGGCGUCCGUCCGUGCGUGCGUUUGUCUGUGCGUGCGUUUGUCCGUCCAAUCCUUCACAAAGACCCAGGCACCGCAGAAUGGAGUAGCCAUGGAGUGAAGAGUCCCAACACUAGUCUCCCAAGUUUUUGAGGUGGAAAAAAUACGGUAAGUUGUUGUGUAAGGGAAGUUCAAUGACAGAUCUGAGGCCUUAAUCUAAAGCGCUUUGUUUCUGGUUUAGUUUUGCCCAAGUUUGACGUGACUGUAAACGUGUUGCAGUUAUGGGACUGAAAGUUGAGUCUUGUGCCAGAUGAAUGCCACGGGCUGUGCCUCUAUUACUGUUGAUGCGUCAGUGUUUUUCAACACCAAAUUUGAAGACCAAAUACAAGACACAUUUCUUGUAAAUGUGAAUGUUACUGAGGAGGGAACAGAUGUAAUGGUGUCAAUCUGCAAUGGUGUCCCUUAUAAACAAAGCUGUAUAUCUCUUGGAGGGGAGCAACUGGCCCAACAAACUGCUGUUGAAUCGAACCACAAACAAGAAUGGACGGGCUGCGUUCUCCCUAAACACUGCUAAUCUUAAGGCUGAUCUGAAUCUGGUGGCGAGUGCUAAUCCAGAGGUUUUUUUUAUGGUUCUAAAUCGCCAUACUUCACUACAGAUACAAGUGACCGUGGCGUAUUCAUUUGUUGGAGAGGCUGGUAGCUACAGCGCUGACAAUCUAUAUGGUCUUAUCCAAAGGAGUGAUCAUCCUCCAUGGAUUUCAGAUGGUUAAAGCAAAGGCUGGUGAUGCAGUCACAAGUGGCUCUGUGACGUUCCAGUUGUCUGUCAGCGUUGAUCUGGCUCCAGCAGUGCAGAUUCUGGUCUACAGCGUUCUUCCCAGUGAGAAUGUAGUUGCUGCUAGUGUGCCGUUUGGGACUGAAAUGUAUUUCCAGAAGAGGGUGUCUCUGCAGUUUUCUCCGGCUACGGCGGUUCCUGCGGAGGGAAACAGUUUCUG
Pimephales promelas (fathead minnow) is the source of this 1876-nucleotide non-coding RNA. The record is from RefSeq and is a predicted model, not a curated record. NCBI's taxonomy places the organism in Eukaryota, Metazoa, Chordata, Actinopteri, Cypriniformes, Leuciscidae.